UACGUAGGGUGCGAGCGUUAAUCGGAAUUACUGGGCGUAAAGCGUGCGUAGGCGGUUUUGUAAGUCAGAUGUGAAAUCCCCGGGCUUAACCUGGGAACUGCGUUUGAAACUACAAAGCUAGAGUGUGGCAGAGGGGGGUGGAAUUCCACGUGUAGCAGUGAAAUGCGUAGAUAUGUGGAGGAGCACCGAUGGCGAAGGCAACCCCCUGGGCCAACACUGACGCUGAGGCACGAAAGCGUGGGGAGCAAACAGG
RNAcentral lists this ribosomal RNA (253 nucleotides) under uncultured bacterium. RNAcentral's name for it is "partial 16S ribosomal RNA". It matches the Rfam family "Bacterial small subunit ribosomal RNA", at positions 524 to 776 of the family's 1533-position model. The record is from RNAcentral.